RNAcentral lists this ribosomal RNA (484 nucleotides) under uncultured bacterium. Its description in RNAcentral is "partial 16S ribosomal RNA". It matches the Rfam family "Bacterial small subunit ribosomal RNA", at positions 30 to 507 of the family's 1533-position model. The record is from RNAcentral.
AUUGAACGCUGGCGGCAUGCCUAACACAUGCAAGUCGAGCGGUUGAAGGGAGCUUUCUCCUGCAUUCAGCGUCGGACGGGUGAGUAAUGCCUAUAAAUCUGCCUCGUAGUGGGGGAUAACGUCCGUAAACGGGCGCUAAUACCGCAUACGUCCUGAUGGAGAAAGUGGAGGAUCUUCGGACCUCACGCUAUCAGAUGAGCCUAGGUCGGAUUAGCUAGUUGGUGGGGUAAAGGCCGACCAAGGCGACGAUCAGUAACGGGUCUGAGAGGAUGAUCAGUCACACUGGAACUGAGAACCGGUCAAGACUCCUACGGGAGGCAGCAGUGGGGAAUAUUGGACAAUGGGCGAAAGCCUGAUCCAGCAAUGCCGCGUGUUUGAAGAAGGUCUUCGGAUUGUAAAGCACGUUAAGUUGGGAGGAAGGGCAGUAAGUUAAAAACUUGCUGUUUUGACGUUACCAACAGAAUAAGCACCGGCUAACUUCGUG